GAUGAACGCUAGCUACAGGCUUAACACAUGCAAGUCGAGGGGAAACGACAGAGGAAGCUUGCUUCCUUUGGGCGUCGACCGGCGCACGGGUGAGUAACGCGUAUCCAACCUUCCCGCAAGUAAGGGAUAACCCGUAGAAAUGCGGCCUAAUACCUUAUGUUUUCCUUAGAGGGCAUCUGAUGAGGAACAAAGAUCCGUCGCUUGCGGAUGGGGAUGCGUCUGAUUAGUUAGUCGGCGGGGUAACGGCCCACCGAGACGACGAUCAGUAGGGGUUCUGAGAGGAAAGUCCCCCACAUUGGAACUGAGACACGGUCCAAAACUCCUACGGGAGGCAGCAGUGAGGAAUAUUGCACAAUGGAGGAAACUCUGAUGCAGCCAUGCCGCGUGUGUGAAGAAGGCCUUCGGGUUGUAAAGCACUUCGGAGGGGAGGAAAAGAUGACGUUACCUCAGAAGAAGCACCGGCUAACUCCGUGCCAGCAGCCG
This 483-nucleotide ribosomal RNA is filed under the name uncultured bacterium. Its description in RNAcentral is "bacterial SSU rRNA". It matches the Rfam family "Bacterial small subunit ribosomal RNA", at positions 28 to 517 of the family's 1533-position model. The record is from RNAcentral.